GCGAGAGUAGCUCAGUUGGUAGAGCGUCAGCCUUCCAAGCUGAAUGUCGCGAGUUCGAACCUCGUCUCUCGCU
This 73-nucleotide transfer RNA is filed under the name Joostella atrarenae. RNAcentral's name for it is "tRNA-Gly". It matches the Rfam family "tRNA". Rfam says of the family: Transfer RNA (tRNA) molecules are approximately 80 nucleotides in length. Their secondary structure includes four short double-helical elements and three loops (D, anti-codon, and T loops). RNAcentral also lists the same sequence under 1 other name. The record is from RNAcentral. Lineage: Bacteria; Pseudomonadati; Bacteroidota; Flavobacteriia; Flavobacteriales; Flavobacteriaceae.